This is a long non-coding RNA of Gossypium arboreum, 461 nucleotides long. RefSeq lists it as uncharacterized. NCBI's taxonomy places the organism in Eukaryota, Viridiplantae, Streptophyta, Magnoliopsida, Malvales, Malvaceae. The record is from RefSeq and is a predicted model, not a curated record. The transcript has 2 exons.
AUCUGCCUUACCCACCUUUUAUCCCCAAAUCAAAAUCCUCCUAACAAAAUCCCCCAAAAAAAUCCCUGAACACUCAUCAGUUCCCCCCGUAUGCCCCACCCACUGAAAUCCCUUUUCUGUCUGACCAUCCCUCACCCAUUUGUAUUACCACCAUCCACCUGAGCUUCGCUACCGCUUUGUCCAACUCCUAUGCCUACCAAGUUAAGCUUCACACAACCUUGAUGAUUGAGGAGAUCAGUGUUGUUAGGUCGGCUCGGGGUUGGAGAUCAUAGGAGGCAGCAUCACACUAUCAAGCCAAUACCUUUGGAAUAUUGUUACAUAUGUUAGAAUUAUCAAGUGAGUGGCAUGUAUAAGGACCUAGUUUUAUAACAUGUGUUAUUAUAAUUUGGCCAAAUGUAUUGACCUAUAUUGUGCUAUUGAUUAUGACUUGUAAAUCUAGCUAUUCAUGUUGUGUCUAAUAA